Molecule: ribosomal RNA, 513 nt
Filed under: uncultured bacterium
Lineage: Bacteria
Description: partial 16S ribosomal RNA
Rfam family: Bacterial small subunit ribosomal RNA
Source: RNAcentral
GACGAACGCUGGCGGCAUGCCUAAUACAUGCAAGUCGAGCGAACAGAUGAAGUGCUUGCACUCCUGACGUUAGCGGCGAACGGGUGAGUAACACGUAAGGAAUCUACCUAUAAGCGGGGGAUAACAUUCGGAAACGGGUGCUAAUACCGCAUAAUAUCUUCUUCCGCAUGGAAGAAGAUUGAAAGACGGCUCUGCUGUCACUUAUAGAUGACCUUGCGGUGCAUUAGCUAGUUGGUGGGGUAAUGGCCUACCAAGACGAUGAUGCAUAGCCGACCUGAGAGGGUGAGCGGCAACAUUGGGACUGAGACACGGACCAAACUCCGACGGGAGGCAGCAGUAGGGAAUCUUCCGCAAUGGGCGAAAGCCUGACGGAGCAAUGCCGCGUGAGUGAAGAAGGCCUUCGGGUCGUAAAACUCUGUUAUAAGAGAAGAACAAAUUGUAGAGUAACUGCUACAGUCUUGACGGUAUCUUAUCAGAAAGCCACGGCUAACUACGUGCCAGCAGCCGCAGUAA